UGGGGAUAUAGCUCAGUUGGUAGAGUGUUUGCCUAGCAUGUACAAGGCCCUGGGUUCAAUCCCCAGUCCCUAA
RNAcentral lists this transfer RNA (73 nucleotides) under Marmota monax (woodchuck). Its description in RNAcentral is "tRNA.Ala". It matches the Rfam family "tRNA". Rfam says of the family: Transfer RNA (tRNA) molecules are approximately 80 nucleotides in length. Their secondary structure includes four short double-helical elements and three loops (D, anti-codon, and T loops). The record is from RNAcentral. Lineage: Eukaryota; Metazoa; Chordata; Mammalia; Rodentia; Sciuridae.